Myzus persicae (green peach aphid) is the source of this 2672-nucleotide long non-coding RNA. RefSeq lists it as uncharacterized. The transcript is spliced from 4 exons. The record is from RefSeq and is a predicted model, not a curated record. NCBI's taxonomy places the organism in Eukaryota, Metazoa, Arthropoda, Insecta, Hemiptera, Aphididae.
AUUUCAAAUGUCAUUACGCAUACUCGCAUUAUGUAAAAAGUGUUUUCAACUCAUAGUUUAUUUGUUAAUGUUUCUAAUUCUAAUUUUAACUUUUCAUUUUAUAAAAACAAAAGUGUUCUGCAGGAGUUUAAUGUAAAAAUGUAUCAAUAUAUUCAAAUCAAUUCCUAAAAGUGAUGAUCGAUAACAGGCAUUGCCUUGUCUAGAAAUAGCAUUUUGGUUUUAAAAACAAAUGGUUUUAUUUUCUGUCAUUGGUCAGAUAAAAAUUAUUGAAAUAUAGACAGUUCAAUUUUCAUAAAGAUCAAUUAACCACUAUUCGUAUCAGGUAAGGCCAGCAUUAAAUGGUACACAUUAUUUGGUGAUUAAACACUAAUUCAACGUGUACAAAAAAAUAAGACAAGAUUAUAAGUAUUUUUUUUUAGAAAAUGUCACUAUUAUAAAUUAUUUAGUUGAAACCAUUUUUGACAUAAUAAUUGUAAUCCAUAUCAUUAAAUACCCGGAUAACUUUUUUCUUAUCAAUUACAAUUCAUGUAACCAUACUUGUGUGAUCGCUAUAGUAUAGUAAUGUACUUAGUAAAGCUUCGUGUUUCAAUAUUUACAAUGUAUAAUAUUUAUAUAUUAUAUAUAUCCCAUGUGCACAAGCCUCUGUACAAACAUUUUUUUGUUAAUACCAAUCAAAAAUGUUAAACUAUGGCUUAAGCACGCAUAAAGAAGUUUGGCAUAAUAAUAUAAACAUGACACCUGCAUUAGUAUAUAUUAACACACACGUAUUUUUUUUUUGGUAAACCUUUUAAAGUGAAAUAUACAUUUUAAGUACCUAACUACCUAAUUUUUCUAUAAUUUGUAUAAUGAAACAUCGAAAUAUAACAAUGUUCUAUUAUAUUUUGUUGAUAGUUUUAUUUUGUCUGUGUGGUAUUUGAAUCAGAAAUUAAAUAUGAUUUCAAUGGCGAGUCGUUAAAUAGCAAUUACUGCAAUAGUUACGUUUGUAAUAAAUACAUUUUCCUACUAUUUACUUCAACAUUGUAAACUGUUAUACUAAUAUAGUAUGUCAUCGCAGUGUCUGAAAAUAGGUUUAUUAUUCUUAUGUUAAAAUAAUAUUUGCUUUUUUUUGUUUUCAUAUUUAAAAUGUGAAUACUUACCUAUAUUAACAGUGUACCUUAUAUUUUUAAACGAGCAUUUGUACAUUUUAUUUGUAUAUAUUAUAUUUGAUACAUUUAUUAAAAAACAUAGUCAAAGUUUGUAGUAAAGUCAUUUAGUCGAUAAGUAGUAACAGACUUUUAAUUUUAUAAUGUAUGUUAAUCAAUUACAAAAAAACGGGUUUUGGAUUAUUUUUCAUAACAACAAUCUUAGAAGCCGGAUGAAUGUAUAGGUAUUUGAUUUGAUUUAAUACGCAUUAAAUGCAAGGUUGAAAAUAUUAUGCGUAGGUAUUUCGAUGUCUGGCAGACAGAUAUUUAUUAUUUAUCACAAUGAGUAAAGAGCUGUUUGCUUGAUUUUUGACGGUACCUAACUAUUAUUCCAUGUAUUUUUGUUAUUGAUUAAGUGAAAACUUCACAUUAAUGGACAUAAAUCUAAGAAUGAUUACUAAUAUAAGAUAGUGUCUGUAUACAUACGCAUGGUUCUAUUUUUAAUUUUAAUUUUUUAUAUUUUUAUGUUUAAAAUUUGAUUGAUAAGAUUUGUUUCUUGUAAGAAAUUGAUUGAAACUGUGUUUUGUUAGAUGUUUGGAGAGAGAAAGGAGUAUUCCAGAUUGUUCUCGAUCUUGACCUGGGAAAUUUGAGUAUCAAUAUAACUCCACAAGGUUUGGAAUAAAUACUUUUAUUUCCUUGUGAUGAGAACAUUUUGGGUGAUACUGUCGCAUCCAGAAAAAUGAACGAAGUCCCGUCUUUCAAAGCUAUACCAGGUCAGCUGAUAUCUCAAGUUUUUCUACGGUUUUUGGAUCACGAACAGACCAUCUCGAUUGUUUUUGGCUGUAGAUAAGGAUUUUACGACUUCGGUUUUUGCCACAUCGGGAAUGCUGCAGGGGUGAUCGGUGAUUGAGAGACACACUUUUUUAGACCCGGGAGCCAAUUCGGUAUUACCCAUGUGUCUAUUAUGUCAUGGUUUUAACUUAAUUAGGAUCAUAUGGUCGAUGGCGGACGGAACUAAAACGAAACUGCGGGGCGUAAAAUCGACGAAAUGGUUGUGAAAAUGGAAAAACAUAAAACCCGGAAGUUCCGUCCUAUGGAAACAUCGACUGGCUAUUCAGAUAUCUAUUCGAGAAAACGAGAAACCGAGUAUGUAAAAACCAACGGCGGCGGAAUCGGCUGCCAGUCUGCCACCACCGUAGAACCACAAAUACUGGCAGUAAAAUUGAAAAAAAGAUCGGGUAAACGAAAAUGCGCACUCGGUCAUUGUCAUUACCUUUGGGUAGACUGAUAGGUAGCUGUAACACUUUACAGUGUCUAGUCGUCUAUGCCCAUUGUGCUGUGGAUUCAAUAAAGACAUAUGAAUCAUGUUUUAUGUGUAUAUAUUUUUUCUUUUUUUGGUUAAGCAUCAACUACACAGGUUAUUAGCUUUACAAGUAUUUUAUGUAUAUUUUUUUGUGUUUUAUUAAUAACUUUUACAUUGUGACAUAUUAUGUCAAUAUUGCAUACAGUCCAGAUCCAAGCAAUGGUAUAUUGGAUAAUAUUGCGAUUCAG